GUCACAUCCUGUGCGGCUGUGGCCUGUUCGGGAGCUGAACUGCCUCUUCCACUGAGGGGAAGUUACCUCCUAUAGACCACCUGCUUAGCAGUUGAUUCUGUUUCAGUAUUGCUUUAUUGCCACUCAGGAUCUAUAGGAAACACUCAGACUCUCAUGGUUUAUAUUUUACUACAAGACAACUCUAUAUGGUAAAUCCUCACCAUGGUGGCCACAUGGAUUCUUCUAUACGGCUUUGUCAUGUGUUUUAUCUGGUACCACCAGACUUCUUAACACUCUCAGCUCACUUGUGAGACUAAACAGCUCCUUCACAAGACAAUGCUGUACUUUUUGCAAGAAUCACAUCAUUCUCAUUAAUUUUAAUGAGCAUUUAAUGCAUCUCAAGUGUGUUAUUUUUACAUCCUGAAAUUUGUAACUGUUGAAGGAUUAGAAGCGUGAAUUUUUAUUAUUAUUAUUUGGCCCGGGUGGUGCAGCAGAACUUGCUGUUUCCAGCUAUGUGAUGGAGCAGUACUGCACAAGGUCCCAAGUUAGCAAGACAGAUGGAGAAGAAAGUUUCUUCAUGUCUGUUGCCACUGUGCUCCCCGUCUAUCAUCAGAGCUUUGGAAUCACUCUGUAAUGAAAACCAGUGCUGUGCAGUGUUAUAACCGCAGUAUCCAGCAGGAUCAGAGUUCACUGAUGCACAUGUUGUUGAGUUUUCUGUUGAGGCAGCUGCAAUACUGGCAAAGCAGAACAUCUUAUUUCAUUCCAACAUGGUGAAACAUAAGGAUUUUUGUACAUUAUUUUUCAUUUUCCACAAAUGAUGAUGCAUCACUGGCAUUACAGUUAUCUCAAAGGUGGUAAUGUUUCCCUGCAUAUCCCUAUAGAAGCCAAGGAUCAGUGUUGUUUCAUGUGGAUCAAUGAAGUGCAUGAUGCAGGGUGGUAAAUGUGUGAAGUGCCGAUAUUUAUUCCAGGAUUUACGAACUGAGCCGUUUAUUUGGGUUUUAAAUAGUUGUUUGGCUAAUACUAAUGCUCACAGGCAAUUUCAAAUAUGAGUUUCUUAGGAAACUGAGUAUUAUGGGGCUUCCCCUCUAACAUUUCUUUUGGUGUGAAUAAACAACGUACCCUUGUUUACAAGGCUAACACU
Numida meleagris (helmeted guineafowl) is the source of this 1120-nucleotide long non-coding RNA. RefSeq lists it as uncharacterized. NCBI's taxonomy places the organism in Eukaryota, Metazoa, Chordata, Aves, Galliformes, Numididae. The record is from RefSeq and is a predicted model, not a curated record. The transcript is spliced from 4 exons.